Molecule: ribosomal RNA, 251 nt
Filed under: uncultured bacterium
Lineage: Bacteria
Description: partial 16S ribosomal RNA
Rfam family: Bacterial small subunit ribosomal RNA
Source: RNAcentral
GACAGAGGUGCCGAGCGUUAGGCGGAAUCACUGGGCUUAAAGCGUGUGUAGGCGGACCGUUAAGUGUCUUGUGAAAUCCCACGGCUCAACCGUGGAACGGCUGGGCAUACUGGCGGUCUUGAGCGGUCCAGGGGCGAGCGGAACAAGCGGUGGAGCGGUGAAAUGCGUAGAUAUCGCUUGGAACGCCGACGGUGAAAACAGCUCGCUGGGGACCCGCUGACGCUGAGACGACGAAAGCCAGGGGAGCGAAC